This is a long non-coding RNA of Sycon ciliatum, 641 nucleotides long. RefSeq lists it as uncharacterized. The record is from RefSeq and is a predicted model, not a curated record. NCBI's taxonomy places the organism in Eukaryota, Metazoa, Porifera, Calcarea, Leucosolenida, Sycettidae. The transcript has 2 exons.
UCUGUUUGUCCAUGGAAGAAGAGGGUAUUUGUGUCAUCAUGGCUUCUGGCUGUGUUGUUGGCUACUAUAAUCUUACUGGUAACCCCCCUGGGAUGAACCUGCACCAAUUUCCGAAGGAUUGUGCUUGGCACAGGCCGAGCAGUGCCGCCAUAGCAGCUAUCAAGCGACAUAAUUAUUUGCUUGACAAUUUCGGGACUACAAUGUAAAUCCUUCGCGUGUGUUCCAGCCAUUUGGCAGAGGAGGAUUUUCAGGAGGAAUAUUAUGCACUCAUCCGAUGCGGACGCUGGUGGAUGAAACUGUGGUGUGUCCUUUUUUCGCACGCCACACUGUGAAGCGCCAGUCGAAAAGUGGAGGAAGAAGAUCAAGAGCGGCUGUACCAUCGGUCGCAGUGACUCAGUGUUGAGCUACGACCACUGCCAGUGCCACCGCCCAAAGGUUAUAGGAAGGACUGUUUGCAGCGCCAGCGCCUCUAGCUGGCAUGUUUUUUCCUGUAUGAACACACAGCCUGUACUGCUGAUAAGCUACAUCACGUAAUGACCCGCAGUUCAAGGAGAGAAGAUAGUCCACAUACCGGCAACAGUGUACACCUCAGGAGCUCGUUGCGUUUUCUCAGUAUGGAUGCAGAUGAGAGCCAGACAUUA